Molecule: long non-coding RNA, 281 nt
Filed under: Jatropha curcas
Lineage: Eukaryota; Viridiplantae; Streptophyta; Magnoliopsida; Malpighiales; Euphorbiaceae
Description: long non-coding RNA (JCUR_LNC003438)
Source: RNAcentral
CUCCUCCUGCUAGAGUUUGAAAUGGCACCAAGAAAAGAAAGCAUAGUGUUAUUCCCAUUCAUGGCACAAGGCCAUAUCAUCCCUUUUCUUGCAUUAGCCCUUCACAUUCAAAAAACAAAAGUUUAUAAUAUAAUCCUUGUUAAUACUCCUUUUAACAUCAGAAAACUCAGAUCAUCUCUACCUCCGAGUUCCUCUAUUCGUCUUCUUGAAUUACCCUUUGACAGCUCUGAUCAUGGCCUCCCUCCAAAUACUGAAAAUACUGAUGUUCUUUCUUACCCACA